UCAGGAAAGCAUUGCAAUAAA
This 21-nucleotide non-coding RNA is filed under the name Caenorhabditis elegans. The record is from RNAcentral. Lineage: Eukaryota; Metazoa; Nematoda; Chromadorea; Rhabditida; Rhabditidae.